UGGGCAACACAGUGAGACCCCUCUUUAAACACACACAAACACACACACACACAAACACAAAAAACAAAAAUGGAAAGAGAAAAAAAAAACUGGUUCCAAGUGAUUACACUAUGCAAAUUACUUUCCUUUUCUGAACUUUAGUUUUUCUUUCUGUACAUCAAGAGCAUUCAGUUGGUGAUAUUAAAAUUCUCUGCUACUGCAGCUUAGGUUGUCGUAAUACAGUACUGUAGACUUGGGGGUCUUAAACAACAGAAAUUUAUUUCUUACAGUUCUGGAGGCUGGAAUUCCAGUAUCAAGGUGCUGGCAAGGUAUGUUCCAUUCUGAAAUCUUUUCCUUUGGCGUGAAGGUGGCUGCCAUCCUUGUGUGUUCCUGCGACCUCCUUGUAUGUGCUAGUGGGGGGAGGGAGGGAAGGAGGGAGAGAGAAAAGAGAGGCACACAAACUGGUCUCUCUCUCUCUCUCUCUUUUUUAAGGAGUCUCUCUUUUUUUUUUUAAGGGCACUAAUUUUAAUUCUUCAGGUCCUCAUCUAACCCUAAAUUGCUUCACAACGUUCCCACCUCCAAAUAUCAUC
Molecule: long non-coding RNA, 569 nt
Filed under: Marmota monax (woodchuck)
Lineage: Eukaryota; Metazoa; Chordata; Mammalia; Rodentia; Sciuridae
Source: RNAcentral